UACAGAGGUCCCAAGCGUUGUUCGGAUUCACUGGGCGUAAAGGGUGCGUAGGUGGUGAGGUAAGUCCGAUGUGAAAGCUCCGAGCUCAACUCGGAAAUUGCAUUAGAAACUAGCUUGCUAGAGGGUUGGAGGGGGGACUGGAAUUCUCGGUGUAGCAGUGAAAUGCGUAGAUAUCGAGAGGAACACCAGUGGCGAAGGCGAGUCCCUGGACAACUCCUGACACUGAGGCACGAAAGCUAGGGGAGCAAACAGG
RNAcentral lists this ribosomal RNA (253 nucleotides) under uncultured bacterium. RNAcentral describes it as "partial 16S ribosomal RNA". It matches the Rfam family "Bacterial small subunit ribosomal RNA", at positions 524 to 776 of the family's 1533-position model. The record is from RNAcentral.